This 1372-nucleotide ribosomal RNA is filed under the name uncultured bacterium. RNAcentral describes it as "bacterial SSU rRNA". It matches the Rfam family "Bacterial small subunit ribosomal RNA". The record is from RNAcentral.
ACGAACGCUGGCGGCAGGCUUAACACAUGCGAGUCGAACGAUAUAGUGGCAGACGGGUGAGUAACGCGUGGAAACGUGCCUUUCACUACGGAAUAGCUUUUGGAAACGAAAGGUAAUACCGUAUACGCCCUCCGGGGGAAAGAUUUAUCGGUGAAAGAUCGGUCCGCGUUAGAUUAGCUAGUUGGUGAGGUAACGGCUCACCAAGGCUACGAUCUAUCGCUGGUCUGAGAGGAUGAUCAGCCACACUGGAACUGAGACACGGUCCAGACUCCUACGGGAGGCAGCAGUGGGGAAUAUUGCACAAUGGGCGCAAGCCUGAUGCAGCCAUGCCGCGUGAAUGAUGAAGGCCUUAGGGUUGUAAAAUUCUUUCGCCAGGGAUGAUAAUGACAGUACCUGGUAAAGAAGCCCCGGCUAACUUCGUGCCAGCAGCCGCGGUAAUACGAAGGGGGCUAGCGUUGUUCGGAAUUACUGGGCGUAAAGCGCACGUAGGCGGACUUUUAAGUCAGAUGUGAAAUCCCGAGGCUCAACCUCGGAACUGCAUUUGAAACUGGGAGUCUAGAGAUCAGGAGAGGUUAGCGGAAUACCGAGUGUAGAGGUGAAAUUCGUAGAUAUUCGGUGGAACACCAGUGGCGAAGGCGGCUAACUGGACUGAUACUGACGCUGAGGUGCGAAAGUGUGGGGAGCAAACAGGAUUAGAUACCCUGGUAGUCCACACCGUAAACGAUGAGUGCUAGUUGUCUGCAGGCAUGCCUGUAGGUGACGCAGCUAACGCAUUAAGCACUCCGCCUGGGGAGUACGGCCGCAAGGUUAAAACUCAAAGAAAUUGACGGGGCCCGCACAAGCGGUGGAGCAUGUGGUUUAAUUCGAAGCAACGCGCAGAACCUUACCUACGCUUGACAUGCCCGGACGAUUUCCAGAGAUGGAUCUCUCCCUUCGGGGCCGGUGCACAGGUGCUGCAUGGCUGUCGUCAGCUCGUGUCGUGAGAUGUUGGGUUAAGUCCCGCAACGAGCGCAACCCUCAUCCUUAGUUGCCAUCACGUUUGGGUGGGCACUCUAGGGAAACUGCCGGUGCUAAGCCGGAGGAAGGCGGGGAUGACGUCAAGUCCUCAUGGCCCUUACGCGUAGGGCUACACACGUGCUACAAUGGCAGUGACAAUGGGAUAAUCCCCAAAAGCUGUCUCAGUUCGGAUUGUCGGCUGCAACUCGCCGGCAUGAAGUUGGAAUCGCUAGUAAUCGUGGAUCAGCAUGCCACGGUGAAUACGUUCCCGGGCCUUGUACACACCGCCCGUCACACCAUGGGAGUUGGAUCUACCCGAAGAUUGUGAGCUAACUUCGGAGGCAGCAAGCCACGGUAGGUUCAGCGACUGGGGUGA